RNAcentral lists this ribosomal RNA (567 nucleotides) under Triticum aestivum (bread wheat). RNAcentral's name for it is "partial small subunit ribosomal RNA". The record is from RNAcentral. Lineage: Eukaryota; Viridiplantae; Streptophyta; Magnoliopsida; Poales; Poaceae.
AUGGAAAAGAGGAUCCUCGAUGACAUAGCAGAAAUCUGGAAAAGCAGACAAGAAUCAAAACAGAGUCACAGAGUAAUAUUAGGCCCAAACUUUGCAGAGAUAUUCAUUCCAAUGGAGAAGCAUGACCGCUAUGUACUAUAUGUGAUGGACAAAUACAAACACAAAGUUCACAUUACUGAUCCUCGAGAAACAACUCACGAGGAAUUUGAGAAAGAAAAGAUAGACAUCGAAAAAUUAACACCAGAAGAAGCAAGCCGACUACUUCAGGAAAAUGAAGAUGCCAGAAAAGAAAGAGAAAGACAGUUUCACAAAUAUCAUGUUCAUAAGAUGGCAAUCGUACCUAGGUUUAAAGAAGUCUUCAACAUCAUAAUAGGACAAACAAUGAAUGUCAAGGGUACAAGAUGGCAGACUCAUACCGUGCAAGAUGUUCCAGUGGUAGAAAAGGGAGAAACAACAUUUGUUGUUUUAAAGCUUGCAUUCCUCUACAAUGGUGAAAAGUUUGUCGAAGACCUGGAAGAUUUGAUGAGGUCAAAGACUGGAGGGCAGAGGCAAUGUACAUUCUCUUAA